Molecule: long non-coding RNA, 221 nt
Filed under: Malus domestica (apple)
Lineage: Eukaryota; Viridiplantae; Streptophyta; Magnoliopsida; Rosales; Rosaceae
Description: long non-coding RNA (MDOM_LNC018809)
Source: RNAcentral
CACAAAACAGAAACUUGAAACUAAACAGAUUGUAAAAAAACGAUUUUUGGUGAAAUAGAUGGAUAAAAGGCUAGUUAGGAGGUUCUUCUCCACACAUGUCACACUUGCAAACAAAACGAUUUUCAGUUGUUCUUCCAAUAAACUAUGAAUACUCAACGCCCCAAGUUAACCGUGAAUUGCACUAAUUAACCCUCAGUUUCUCCAGAAUUUAUCAAGUUGGA